GUGAGGAAUUUUCCGCAAUGGGCGAAAGCCUGACGGAGCAAUGCCGCGUGAAGGAUGAAGGCCUAUGGGUUGUAAACUUCUUUUCUCAGAAAAGAAUUAUGACGGUAUCUGAGGAAUAAGCAUCGGCUAACUCUGUGCCAGCAGCCGCGGUAAGACAGAGGAUGCAAGCGUUAUCCGGAAUGAUUGGGCGUAAAGCGUCUGUAGGUUGUUUAAAAAGUAUUCUGUCAAAGAUUAGGGCUUAACCCUAGAUAGGCAGAAUAAACUUUUAAGCUAGAGUUUGGUAGAGGCAGAGGGAAUUCCCGGUGGAGCGGUGAAAUGCGUAGAUAUCGGGAGGAACACCAAAGGCGAAGGCACUCUGCUGGGCCAAUACUAACACUGAGAGACGAGAGCGAGGGGAGCAAAUGGGAUUAGAUACCCUUGUAGUCC
RNAcentral lists this ribosomal RNA (426 nucleotides) under uncultured bacterium. Its description in RNAcentral is "partial 16S ribosomal RNA". It matches the Rfam family "Bacterial small subunit ribosomal RNA", at positions 354 to 796 of the family's 1533-position model. The record is from RNAcentral.